GAUGAACGCUGGCUACAGGCUUAACAUAUGCAAGUCGAGGGGAAACGACGGGGAAGCUUGCUUCCCCGGGCGUCGACCGGCGCACGGGUGAGUAACGCGUAUCCAACCUGCCUCUGACUGAGGGAUAACCCGUCGAAAGUCGGCCUAAUACCUCAUGGUAUCGUCUGCGGGCAUCCAACGACAAUUAAAGAUUUCAUCGGUCAGGGAUGGGGAUGCGUCUGAUUACCUUGUUGGCGGGGUAACGGCCCGCCAAGGCUCCCUGCGGUAGGGGUUCUGAGACGAAGGUCCCCCACAUUGGAACUGAGACACGGUCCAAACUCCUACAGGAGGCAUCAGGGAGGAAUAUUGGUCAAUGCGCGACAGCCUUUACUUCUCUCAACUCGCGUGCCCCCCCCACGGGCUUAUUUGUUUUCAACUCUCUUUUACUCCGUUAU
Molecule: ribosomal RNA, 434 nt
Filed under: Neisseria subflava
Lineage: Bacteria; Pseudomonadati; Pseudomonadota; Betaproteobacteria; Neisseriales; Neisseriaceae
Description: bacterial SSU rRNA
Rfam family: Bacterial small subunit ribosomal RNA (bases 20-372)
Source: RNAcentral